GGUGUAGCUCAAUUGGCAGAGCAGCUGAUUUGUAAUCAGCAGGUUGCGGGUUCAAGUCCCAUCACC
RNAcentral lists this transfer RNA (66 nucleotides) under Christensenella hongkongensis. RNAcentral describes it as "Catabacter hongkongensis tRNA-Thr". It matches the Rfam family "tRNA". From Rfam's summary of the family: Transfer RNA (tRNA) molecules are approximately 80 nucleotides in length. Their secondary structure includes four short double-helical elements and three loops (D, anti-codon, and T loops). The record is from RNAcentral. Lineage: Bacteria; Bacillati; Bacillota; Clostridia; Christensenellales; Christensenellaceae.